This is a non-coding RNA of Camellia sinensis, 1212 nucleotides long. The record is from RefSeq and is a predicted model, not a curated record. NCBI's taxonomy places the organism in Eukaryota, Viridiplantae, Streptophyta, Magnoliopsida, Ericales, Theaceae.
ACACUAGUGUCUAUGAAGAGAUAGAGUAGAAAGACGUAGGUGAAGGGGAAAGGCUUUUUCAAAGACGAAGCUGAAGGGGAAAGGGUUCUUCAAUCAAUUGAAUCGGUGGAGAUCAAGACGCAUGGCAGUCCAUUGACGCAGUCCACUUCCUUUCUCAACAAAGCAAUCACGCUUUCCAUUGAAUCAAUUUGUAAUCUGCUUCGAGUGCUUCGACUUGGACUUGGCUUCAAUUUCUGAUUGUUCAUCUGUUCUAUUUGCGUAGGCCCUUUCGAGGUUCUUCAAAGCCACACGCUGCCGAUCUUUCAAAGGUAUCCACGGCCUAAGAAGGAGUGCCAGUCCUUCUCUCUUAUAUAUAACGACAGGUCACUGGAUUCGAUUUGUAAAGAUAAAGAUGAAGCUGGGCAAUGGUUUAUUGGUUUAAAAGCAUUAAGUGGCCAUCAACGAAAGUGGAGAACAGAAUCAAGGAGUGAUGGUAUUCCAUCUGAAGCUAAUAGUCCCCGAACAUACACUCAAAGAAGUUCUCCUUUGAACUCUCCAUUUGGUAGUGGUGAUAGCUUGCAGAAGGUAUGAUUUCUAGUGUUGCACACAUGCAGAAAGUUCACCUUGAGACACGCAUAGGCACCUUUAUGUAAAAACAAAUGCACAUGGACAUAGUUCUCCUUAAGAAUGCUUAAACUGGUCUACAUUUUCCUAUAAGUUUUACUUACUAUUUUCCUUUUUUGUUUCAUUGGUUGAAGCCAUAUGUUAUUAAAGCUUGUGAUUUCAUUCAAUUCAAUUGAAAGAUUGCUGGCUGUUGCUUUACACUUGCUCCUCAUGUUAAAAUUAAAGAAAAUCAGAGAAGAACUUGAAUGUAUUUGCAAUCUGAUGCAAUUGCUCUGUUGGACUGAGCUGUGGCUGCAACUGCUGCAGCUGUUCUGUUGUUUUGAGCUGUGGCCAUGGCUGUGGCCUUUGCUGCAGCUCUACCUUGACUUGUAAUGCUUUAGCCAACUGCCCAUGUUGUGGAUAUGGCUACAGCCAUACAGAGCUUGUGUCCUUCAAUUGUCUUGCUGAUCUGACCUCCUAAACUUGCUGGUAGUUACAUAAAUAUGGUUGACAUUCAGAUUUGGCAUACCUUAUCCUACCCUUAGAACCCAUUUUUAUUUAGCAUUCAAGUUUGUAUUUUGUUAGAAUUCAAGUAAUAACAAUUUUAUCAUAAUUAGUAAAAAUUACCAA